UCAGCAGCAGAACAGUCUGGUGACGCGGAAAGGAGGAAAGCAGCUCAGCAGCCUCUGUCCUGGAAAUAGAAAGAGCAUUUCUGAAAGGGCUGAGUCAAAAUGAGCAUUGAUCAGUAUGUGUUAUGGGAUUAAACACUUUGUACUGAUGCAGCCACUGGGCAGACAUAGCUGCACAACUUCAAGCGAAGCCCAAUUACCUGCUGAUUACCUUCAGCAAGCAGCCUUCAUCUGGACAUACAGUAAAAAGAGGAACAUCCAUUUGUCAAGGGAUGGGAAGAUACAGGCUGUGACAUUCUCCCUUCUGCUCCUCUCCGUCACCACCACUUUUCUGCUCAGUGUAUUCAACAACAUGGUGGGAAGAAAUGUUUGGAUUUCUGAUGUUUUACGGUCAGAGAUUGGUUCUCGAAGGCAAAUAAAAGUCUUUUUUGCUUGGUACAUCA
This is a non-coding RNA of Coturnix japonica (Japanese quail), 440 nucleotides long. Lineage: Eukaryota; Metazoa; Chordata; Aves; Galliformes; Phasianidae. The record is from RefSeq and is a predicted model, not a curated record.